This 185-nucleotide non-coding RNA is filed under the name Spirochaetaceae bacterium 4572_59. Its description in RNAcentral is "6S RNA". It matches the Rfam family "6S / SsrS RNA". From Rfam's summary of the family: E. coli 6S RNA was the first non coding RNA to be sequenced, but its function was unknown until recently. It consists of 184 nucleotides that fold into an extended hairpin structure with a large single-stranded internal bulge. The 6S RNA specifically associates with RNA polymerase holoenzyme containing the sigma70 specificity factor. The record is from RNAcentral. Lineage: Bacteria; Pseudomonadati; Spirochaetota; Spirochaetia; Spirochaetales; Spirochaetaceae.
AAUAGCCUGCGGUGUUCGCGUUUUAGGGAAUUUUCUCUUGCGACAAGUCGAAUCCAUGGGAUUCCUAAAUGCUUUGAACUGAAUUGCUAUCCCUAGAGGAAAAACAGGAUGUUCUGGAACGGAAUCCCACUUGAACAGUUUGAGUUCAAGAGGAUGAACUCCCGAAGCGGCAUUGCGGGUUUUAU